GGGAGGGUGGUAAAAUGGAAAAAAACACUGAAUUUGGAAUCAGAAGCGCUAGAUUCAAAUCCUAGCUCUGCUA
This 73-nucleotide transfer RNA is filed under the name Monodelphis domestica (gray short-tailed opossum). It matches the Rfam family "tRNA". Rfam says of the family: Transfer RNA (tRNA) molecules are approximately 80 nucleotides in length. Their secondary structure includes four short double-helical elements and three loops (D, anti-codon, and T loops). Lineage: Eukaryota; Metazoa; Chordata; Mammalia; Didelphimorphia; Didelphidae. The record is from Rfam by way of RNAcentral.